AGUGCAGGGACAAGAAAUCACAAUUGUAAUGCAAACCAAGAAUUAAAUUUCGAAAAGUAAAAAAUUGAAUGUUUUAACAAAAUAUUGUCAAGAACAUACCUGGUGGCCACUGUGGAAGGGGUGAAGGAAGAGAAAAAGGCUUUUUUUCCACGGGAAAAUCCUCGUACAAAUUGUCAUAAUCGCAUGAGACAAAACACCCACACCUCCCCAACAUAUUUUUAUUUUAUUUUUUCAAAAGAUUCAAUUACACGACAAACCCACAAAAAGAAUUGCUUUUAGCUCAGCCGAAGUAAAUGCAUAAACACGCAGACUGAUACCCAAUUUCUGUUUUAAGGAUCGCGUGGAUAAUCAAGAAACUAUCUAGUCAAAAAUUAUAUUUGGGAGUUUGUGUUUGAUGGGUGCAACUUGCAAGGACAGACACUGGGAGGUUUUACUUUUCUUUGGAGAGUUUGAGUGAGAAGACCGAAGCAAAAUAUUGGAGAGAGAAGUAGAGAGAUUUGGCUUUUAUAAUUGUGCAAUUAAGUGGUUUGGUCAGUUGCAGACUUACAGUAGAUGAUAUUUUGGAGUC
RNAcentral lists this long non-coding RNA (568 nucleotides) under Olea europaea (common olive). RNAcentral describes it as "long non-coding RNA (OEUR_LNC005245)". The record is from RNAcentral. Lineage: Eukaryota; Viridiplantae; Streptophyta; Magnoliopsida; Lamiales; Oleaceae.